Molecule: non-coding RNA, 3937 nt
Organism: Macaca mulatta (Rhesus monkey)
Lineage: Eukaryota; Metazoa; Chordata; Mammalia; Primates; Cercopithecidae
Source: RefSeq, a predicted model, not a curated record
ACAUGGACAGGUGCAGCUCAGACAUCCCAGAGAUGGGCAUCAGAGGGGAAAUGGAAGAAAGCAGGGAAACAGCCUGUUGACGAUGAGAGGAAGACAAGACAGAGGGCAGAGAGAGGGAGUGGCCCUAUAGUUAAGAUUUGCCAGAUAAAAUACAGGACACCCAGUUACAUUUGAAUUUCAGACAAAUUCCAUGGAACAUGCUCAGACGAAAGAAUGAUGCGUUGUUUAUUGAAAUUCGAUGUAACCGGGCAUCCUGUAUUUUCAUUUGCUGAAUCUGGCAACCUGACCUAGAGUUCCUUUCUAAAAGGACACUUUUCUCAGCCGCUUGGAUUCCAAGGGUCUCACUCUAGGUUAGACCCCCAUUUAGAUUCCCUCCGGGGAGUUUUCUGGGGUCAGACUACCUGGGUUCAAAUCCUGGAUCUACCACUGCUGGCUGCGUAACCCUGGACAAAUGACUUAAUCUCUCUCUAUCCUCUGUUUUCCUCUUCUAGAAAGUGGGGUUAGGAAUAAGAGCCAACCUCAAAGGGCUGCUCCCAGCAAGGAUCAGAGGAGAAAGUAUCUGCAUAGAUUAAGCACACAGAAAGAGCUCAUUAAAGGUACUUUCUAUUCUUGGCUGUGCUUCUGGGCCUUCUGGGUCUCGGUAACUUCCGUCUCUGCCUGGAUUUGCUCCUGGCCAUUUUCUUGGAGAGUGAGACCCAUCCGGAGGGGAAUGUGGGAGAAGGAAGGAGGAGGAAGUGGGGACUGAGAAGGCCCAGGGACGUGCCUUCCUCUUCUUUCCAGGGUCCUGGCCUGGCUUGUCUGUUGGUCGGGAGCGCUUCCUUCCUGGCCUUCCUUGUGGGGCACCUCUGGGGGUGUGCUAGGAAAGGAGGGAGGAAAAUGUGUAACUUGAUAUCUGCUCCUUGACCCUGGCUGACCCGGUUAACUCACUCCAGGAUGGAAGCGAAGCCUGCCCGGGAAACCUUCCGUUGCAGGAACAUCUCGGCCUGAGGCUGUCAUGAGGGAGCCCGAUCUGCUUCCUGGACUCUGAGCAGAACAACAGGAGCCCCAGCAGCCUGGCGAGGCUGACAAGCCCUAGGACGGUGACCUCUCAGAUCUCCAGAUCGGAAACUCUCAGAAACGUGUAAGUGCCAGCAUCCGCAUUUGGGAAUCUGUUAUUUCUGCCUCUGUGAGUCAACCUGACCCACCCUGGAAACCUCACUGUCUCAGCUCUUGUUCCCGUUUUUCUUUCCAUGAACACCACAAUCAGAUACAAGGUUCCAGUAACGACGGUUCUUGAAAAUUAAACAAAUCAAACAGAAAGCCAGCCAAGGUAUGGAACGGGGACCUCUAAGUUCCCCUGGAGGAGACACCGGGGCCAGGUUCUGAGGUGGAUUCGGAGCCAGAAUCCCUAAUGGAAUUGAACAAUUAUCCUGAAGCUGCUCUCUGAAAGUUGCGGUUUUCCUCAAACAGUGUUCUUGGCGUGCCUGGGCUUCUUGGCACUGGUCCAUGGCCCUCAGCAGCAAAUCGUUCCCAGGAAGCUAUUGUUAUUUGUGCAUCUGAUAGCGUUCAGCUGAGUCCACUGACAGCAACAUUUAGAAACGAAAAGAAAAAAAGAAGCAAAAUGAAAAGGACAAAAAGGAGGCUUCCAACAUCCUGGUGGGAACAGAAAACCAGCAAAGCCUCUUUUCCAGCCCUUAUCCUUGUGAGUUUGGACUCUGCAGAACCGUCAUCCCCCAGGCAUAGCUGCAGCUUGUAUGAAGGUCAGCGUCAGGCGCGGAGAUUCCGAAGGACAGUGUGCACCUGCUUUCCUCCAACAGGGACCCCCGCUCUGCUCUUCCCAGGAAUGCCUGUAAACUACCACUGCCUCUAGGGACUGCACCAAGUCCCUGGGUACUCCCAGGACACAAUGGGGUGGAAUGGAGUGGCUCUGUUCUGUCAGGGCCUGACAUUCCAAAUGAAUUCAUUUCCUUCUGGGAAAAAAAGAACCACCUUGUUCAGAGCACAAUGUUCCUAUGUCUUGGCUUACCUUGAAGCAUUUUUGAUACACCUGUUGGGACAAUGCAUUCUGCCAAGAGAAGGGAAGUAGCAUACUUUGUUCUAUUUUUCACUCUCCAUGGCUACAUUUCCAUUGUGUUGGUUUCCCUUACAGAAAAUAACACACACAGAAGAGAAAGUUAUAGGACUCCAUGCUGCUUGGCAGGGGCACGACAUAUGUGCACAUAUUUACAUGGAACAUGAGGGUAAACUAGAAAAUUAAGGGUAAUCUAAAACAGAAAAAAAGAAGGAAAAAAAUAAAAGUAUGAAAAGGCAUCCAGAAUGAGCAAGUUACUGAGGUUGCCUCAACUUUAGCUUUGAGUUUCCUGGCAGCAAAGGUAAAAAGGGGUCGUGGGAGCUGGAAAAGACCUAAGAGAUAAUUGCAGUUCCAUUUUUCUGACAUAGUGGCUGAAGGGAGGGACAUUUAAAAUAGGAACAUGCUAUUUCUUCAGUGCUAUAGGGAGGAAACUCACUCUUGGCCUUAGUGGUAAUAAUCUUCACCCCCUGAGUCUCCACCAUGGUCUCUAACUGCUCUCUCUGUCCAGGACCGACCUUACGUUUAGCACAUCAGGAAUAGAACCCGGUCUCUCCCGCCCAGGCUGUCAUCGCUGACCAGCUCUUCCUUCAGUGGUUCCGGUCUUGGUAAGCAUCAGCUCCAGUCUACAGCUGCUCGGGGGGCCAUUCUUGACUCUUGUCUUCCUCUCUCCCUUGACACCCAAUCCAUCAGGAAAUCCCUCCAGCUCUCCCUUCCAGAUAAAUUCAGAGUCCAUUCACUUCUCACCACCUCCAGGGUAUCCGCUGGCCUAAACCAUCAUCAUCUCUCACUGAGAUGAUUGUAGUAGUGACCUCAUGCAUCACCCUGAUUCCAGCCUUCUUCUCUAUCAACCUAGUAGCUAACGUCAUCCUUCAGCCCCUGACCCACUGAUCUUUUUCAGUCUUAUCCGGAGUAAAACCCAGAGGUCAUUCUCAUGGUCUAUGCAGCCUGUGCCAGCUGGGCUCCUAACUCGUCUCUGAGUCUUUAUCAUCACUUCUGCCCACCCCCAUCUCACCCCUUCACUCUGCUCCAGCUACCCGCUUGCCAUCUCUCAAGUACAUCAAGUCCACUCCUGCCUCUGGCCUGUUGUACUUGCUGUGCCCUCUGCGUGGGAUGUUCUUUCCCCACAUGGCUGCAUGGCUUACUCCCAGCUCCCUCCCUGUCCUUCCUUGAGAGCCACAUUAUAUAACCAUGCUGCACGCUCCGUCUCCCCCUGCUCCUUACUCUGCUUUAUUUCUCUUUAGAGAACUUAUCACCACUUGACAUAUUACCAGUUCACAAAGUGCAGACAGACUUAGCUGUGUCUCUUGGGCCUAGAACACUGUCUGGCAUGUAGUCGAUGUUAAAAAAAAACUGUGAAAUUAAUAAAUAAAACGUUACGUCCUGGGUAUUCCAUUCCCAGGGAUAUCUGUAUUCUGGGACUGAUUCUGUGUGGUUGGACUAGGACUGCAUUUUCUAGCAAUGAUCAAUAUACUUCUAACCCUUAAUGGUUUUCCUCAUUAAUGUUCCAAUAGAGUGAUUGGAGAAAUUGUAUCUAAGUGAUCCCUCCAAUCCCUCCAAUCACUCUAUGGGAACGUUAAUGAGGAAAGCCAGCCAGGCUUGGAAGCCUUUGGCAUUUUUGAGAAAAGUCAGCAAGCAAUGUAGGAAAAUGAUCAGAAGCAUAUUUCUGUCCUAUCUCAAAAUAUCCCCACAAGGGUUCUGAUUGGGAAGAAAAGGGAUUGCCCAUGAACCCAAAGGUGUUAAUUGUGUAGUAGGAUUUUAGGAAGUUUUUCAUGAUCCAGUUCACCAAGAAGAGCUAGCAUCUUGAAAUAAGUCACUGUUGGCCGGGCGCGGUGGCUCAAGCCUGUAAUCCCAGCACUUUGGGAGGCCGAGACGGGCGGAUCAUGAGGU